CCCCCCACUCGAGGGUGAUGAGG
Molecule: non-coding RNA, 23 nt
Filed under: Cricetulus griseus (Chinese hamster)
Lineage: Eukaryota; Metazoa; Chordata; Mammalia; Rodentia; Cricetidae
Source: RNAcentral